AACGCUAGCUACAGGCUUAACACAUGCAAGUCGAGGGGCAGCAUAAGAUUAGCUUGCUAAUUUUGAUGGCGACCGGCGCACGGGUGAGUAACGCGUAUCCAACCUUCCCGCCACUCAGGGAUAGCCCAGCGGAAGUUGGAUUAAUACCUGAUGUUUUGCGACUGAGGCAUCUUGGUUGUAACAAAGAUUUAUCGGUGACGGAUGGGGAUGCGUCUGAUUAGGUAGUAGGCGGGGUAACGGCCCACCUAGCCGACGAUCAGUAGGGGUUCUGAGAGGAAGGUCCCCCACAUUGGAACUGAGACACGGUCCAAACUCCUACGGGAGGCAGCAGUGAGGAAUAUUGGUCAAUGGACGAGAGUCUGAACCAGCCAAGUAGCGUGCAGGAUGACGGCCCUAUGGGUUGUAAACUGCUUUUAUGUGGGAAUAAAUAAGAUUACGUGUAAUCUGUUGCAUGUACCACAUGAAUCAGGACCGGCUAAUUCCGUGCCAGCAGCCGCGGUAAUACGGAAGGUCCGGGCGUUAUCCGGAUUUAUUGGGUUUAAAGGGAGCGUAGGCGGUCUGUUAAGCGUGUUGUGAAAUGUAACGGCUCAACCGUUGACUUGCAGCGCGAACUGGCAGUCUUGAGUGCGCAGGAAGUAGGCGGAAUUCGUGGUGUAGCGGUGAAAUGCUUAGAUAUCACGAAGAACUCCGAUUG
Molecule: ribosomal RNA, 694 nt
Filed under: uncultured bacterium
Lineage: Bacteria
Description: bacterial SSU rRNA
Rfam family: Bacterial small subunit ribosomal RNA
Source: RNAcentral